Molecule: ribosomal RNA, 301 nt
Filed under: uncultured bacterium
Lineage: Bacteria
Description: partial 16S ribosomal RNA
Rfam family: Bacterial small subunit ribosomal RNA
Source: RNAcentral
CAGUAGCCGUGGGAAUACGAGGGGGGCAAGCGUUGUUCGGAAUUAUUGGGCGUAAAGGGUGCGUAGGCGGCUUGACAAGUCUUGUGUGAAAUCUAUGGGCUCAACCCAUAGUCUGCACGGGAAACUGUCGGGCUUGAGAAUGGGAGAGGUGAGUGGAAUUUCCGGUGUAGCGGUGAAAUGCGUAGAUAUCGGAAGGAAUACCUGUGGCGAAAGCGGCUCACUGGACCAUUUCUGACGCUGAUGCACGAAAGCUAGGGGAGCAAACAGGAUUAGAUACCCCCGUAGUCCCUGUCUCUUAUAC